Molecule: long non-coding RNA, 356 nt
Organism: Bradysia coprophila
Lineage: Eukaryota; Metazoa; Arthropoda; Insecta; Diptera; Sciaridae
Source: RefSeq, a predicted model, not a curated record
UUAUCACAUCCGCGUGUUUAUACCAUACGUUACACAUACCUUUAUAUAAGGUUUAACUCAUACAUUAAUCUGUCCCGUCUAGGGUUUUAAUUUUCUUAAACCUCUAGGGUAAAUUUUUUUACUCUAGCCAAAUUUUGGACCAUUUUUUUUUAAAGAAAAAAACCUGGCCCGAAUGAGAAUCGAACACGGAAUCUCCGUGUGGAAAGCAACGUUCAUAGCCACUGCACCACACAAUCUUCUAACGUAAGAGAAUUACGUAGCCAAUGUGAUUGAUUUUAACGAGUAUAUAACACAUGCGACCAAGUCGCAUCGUGACUAUGUACAAUAACAUUCAUGCAUCUAAACCAUACAAACAC